AGGAUUCGCCAACCAACAAGCUCCUCUACGCCAAGGAGAUUCCUGAGUACCGGAAGAUCGUGCAGCGCUACUACAAGCAGAUCCAGGACAUGACGCCGCUCAGCGAGCAAGAGAUGAAUGCCCAUCUGGCCGAGGAGUCGAGGAAAUACCAGAAUGAGUUCAACACCAAUGUGGCCAUGGCAGAGAUUUAUAAGUACGCCAAGAGGUAUCGGCCGCAGAUCAUGGCCGCGCUGGAGGCCAACCCCACGGCCCGGAGGACACAACUGCAGCACAAGUUUGAGCAGGUGGUGGCUUUGAUGGAGGACAACAUCUACGAGUGCUACAGUGAGGCCUGAGACACAUGGAGAGUUGGUCAGGCUGCUGCUGGGAGAAAUGGACGCCCACUGGGCCUCAACUUGAUCUUCUACCCCGUGCCUGUGACUCAGACUGGGAAAUACUGAGCAGAGACGGCUGGGGCGGGGGCAGGAGGAGGGGCUGCUCUCUGAGACAGGGGCGCCCCCGCCUUGACCCCUGGGCACCUCCAUCCCCUCCCACCUGUCCCCAGAUCAGUCUCUGGGAUGGAGGCCAGAGAGCUGGUCAGGCUCCCCCAUCUGCCCAGCACGGCCUGCACUGUGCCCACCCACUUGCUCCACAACGUCCAGUUGGUCCUGCUGCCAAGAGCCCCGUGCAUCCAGGCGGCCAAGCACAAACUGGGGGAGAGGAGGCCGCCAGCCCGGAGGCUGCAGCCCAGAAACUCUACCUCAUCCACACUGGUGCAGGGAGCCCUCCUUGAACUGACCUUUGAUUGGUUUCUGCUUCAACUACC
RNAcentral lists this long non-coding RNA (805 nucleotides) under Homo sapiens (human). Its description in RNAcentral is "long non-coding RNA NONHSAT196250.1". The record is from RNAcentral. Lineage: Eukaryota; Metazoa; Chordata; Mammalia; Primates; Hominidae.